RNAcentral lists this ribosomal RNA (253 nucleotides) under uncultured bacterium. Its description in RNAcentral is "partial 16S ribosomal RNA". It matches the Rfam family "Bacterial small subunit ribosomal RNA", at positions 524 to 776 of the family's 1533-position model. The record is from RNAcentral.
GACAGAGGGUGCAAACGUUGCUCGGAAUUACUGGGCGUAAAGCGCGUGUAGGUGGAUUGGUGUGUCAGAUGUGAAAGCCCUGGGCUCGACCCAGGAACUGCACCUGAAACUACCAGUCUUGAGUGGUGGAGAGGGAAGUGGAAUUCCUGGUGUAGAGGUGAAAUUCGUAGAUAUCAGGAGGAACACCAGUGGCGAAGGCGGCUUCCUGGACACCAACUGACGCUGAGACGCGAAAGCGUGGGGAGCAAACAGG